This 134-nucleotide transfer RNA is filed under the name Fulvia fulva CBS 131901. RNAcentral's name for it is "tRNA-Und (NNN) (tRNA-Und-NNN-8-1)". It matches the Rfam family "tRNA". Rfam says of the family: Transfer RNA (tRNA) molecules are approximately 80 nucleotides in length. Their secondary structure includes four short double-helical elements and three loops (D, anti-codon, and T loops). The record is from RNAcentral. Lineage: Eukaryota; Fungi; Ascomycota; Dothideomycetes; Mycosphaerellales; Mycosphaerellaceae.
GGGGAGGUCGUUCAACGGUAGGACGCAUGAGGGGCCCGAAGCUGUCUCACUCACUUGACAAGCUGAGGGUGGCAACCGUCCGCCUGUACCAUACCAAACUCAUGAGAUGUGGUGUUCGAUUCCCACCUUCUCCA